Molecule: small RNA, 1284 nt
Filed under: Pongo abelii (Sumatran orangutan)
Lineage: Eukaryota; Metazoa; Chordata; Mammalia; Primates; Hominidae
Description: retained intron
Source: RNAcentral
GAUCUCCUUAGAGACAGGGUCCCACUCUGUCACCCAGGGUGGAGUGCAGUGGCACAAUCAUAGCUCACUGCAGGAUUAAACCCCUGGGCUCAAGUGAUCCUCCCACCUCGGCCUCUAGAGUAGCUGGGACUACAAGCGCACACCAGCAUGCCCGGCUAAUUUCUUUUUAAUUUUUUUUUUACAGAGACAGGGUCUUGUUUCGUUGCCCAGGCUGAUAUCAAACCCUUGGACUCAAGCUGUCCUCCCACUUAAUCCUCCCAAAGUGUUGGGAUUACAGGCAUGAGCCACUGCGCCCUUCCAACUGUGGCUUCUGACCGGACACAUUGCCUUGGGAGGCCCCUCCACUCUAAUUAUAGAACCACUAUGAGCUUGUGAGACUAUCUGUGAGCCAGUCCCCUUAUUUUACAAAUGGGGAAACUGAGGCACAUACAGGCAGUGACUUUAGUUUGACCUGCAACAUGGGUGCAGCCUCCCAAAGCCCCUGUCUGGGCCCCACACCUCCAUGCAGGUUCCUGCGCUGACCUCCCUCCCCUCGUCUCUCUCCCUCUCCGAUCCCCGUGGGGCACAGGACUACGGAGGGUGAUGGUGCGGGCUCACCGGCAGGCCUGGUGCUGGCAGGACGAGUGGUAUGGGCUGAGCAUGGAGAACAUCCGGGAGCUGGAGAAGGAGGCGCAGCUCAUGCUUUCCCGCAAGAUGGCCCAGUUCAACGAGGAUGGUGAGGAGGCCACCGAGCUCGUCAAGCACGAAGCCGCCUCGGACCAGGCCUCUGGGGAGCCCCCGGAGCCCAGCAGCAGCAACGGGGAGCCGCUAGUGGGGCGCGGCCUCAAGAAACAGUGGUCCACAUCCUCCAAGUCGUCUCGGUCGUCCAAGCGGGGAGCGAGUCCUUCCCGCCACAGCAUCUCGGAGUGGAGGAUGCAGAGUAUUGCCAGGGACUCGGAUGAGAGCUCAGAUGACGAGUUCUUCGAUGCACACGAGGACCUGUCCGACACAGAGGAAAUGUUCCCCAAGGACAUCACCAAGUGGAGCUCCAAUGACCUCAUGGACAAGAUCGAGAGCCCAGAGCCGGAAGACACACAAGAUGGUCUGUACCGCCAGAGUGCCCCUGAGUUCAGGGUGGCCUCCAGUGUGGAGCAGCUGAACAUCAUAGAGGACGAGGUUAGCCAGCCGCUGGCUGCACCGCCCUCCAAGAUCCACGUGCUGCUACUGGUGCUGCACGGAGGCACCAUCCUGGACACAGGCGCCGGGGACCCCAGCUCCAAGAAGGGCGAUGCUAACACCAUCGCC